AGGUUUCUGGUGCUUGCCACAGGCUCUGGAGUAAGAGCAGGCAAAGCAAACCAACCCAUGUACACCUCAGUCCAGGCCCUGCACCUGGUCGUCGCCAUUGCAAAUGGGAGGACAGGG
Small nucleolar RNA from Tupaia belangeri (northern tree shrew), 117 nucleotides. Lineage: Eukaryota; Metazoa; Chordata; Mammalia; Scandentia; Tupaiidae. The record is from Ensembl.